This 479-nucleotide ribosomal RNA is filed under the name Providencia stuartii. RNAcentral describes it as "bacterial SSU rRNA". It matches the Rfam family "Bacterial small subunit ribosomal RNA", at positions 1048 to 1527 of the family's 1533-position model. Lineage: Bacteria; Pseudomonadati; Pseudomonadota; Gammaproteobacteria; Enterobacterales; Morganellaceae. The record is from RNAcentral.
GCUGUCGUCAGCUCGUGUUGUGAAAUGUUGGGUUAAGUCCCGCAACGAGCGCAACCCUUAUCCUUUGUUGCCAGCGAUUCGGUCGGGAACUCAAAGGAGACUGCCGGUGAUAAACCGGAGGAAGGUGGGGAUGACGUCAAGUCAUCAUGGCCCUUACGAGUAGGGCUACACACGUGCUACAAUGGCGUAUACAAAGAGAAGCGACCUCGCGAGAGCAAGCGGAACUCAUAAAGUACGUCGUAGUCCGGAUUGGAGUCUGCAACUCGACUCCAUGAAGUCGGAAUCGCUAGUAAUCGUAGAUCAGAAUGCUACGGUGAAUACGUUCCCGGGCCUUGUACACACCGCCCGUCACACCAUGGGAGUGGGUUGCAAAAGAAGUAGGUAGCUUAACCUUCGGGAGGGCGCUUACCACUUUGUGAUCCAUGACUGGGGUGAAGUCGUAACAAGGUAACCGUAGGGGAACCUGCGGUUGGAUCACC